CUGAUACUCAGGUGUUCAAAUGCAUCCUGUCUGCCUUGGAGGUGACUUCCUGGUUUUCCCAAGGAUCUGGAGCCCCUUGGAGUGUCGCGACAGCUUGAAGAUCCGGAACACCCUCACCAGGCGGAUCACCCGCAGGAUGGCCAGCGACAUGGCCUGCUGCCCGUUGCCCUGGUGCUCGGCCAGCUCCAGCCCCAGCGUGAUGAAGUAGGGCAUGAUGGCCACGAUGUCGAUGGUGUUCAUGAUGUUCCUGAAGAAGGCGGCUUUGCUCGGGCUCGCCAGGAAGCGCACCAGCAGCUCGAAGGAGAACCAGAUGAUGCACAGCGUCUCCACGAUGAAGAACGGGUCGGUGAAGGGGUUCGGCUUCUUGAGCCGCGUCGAGGUGCCGUUGAUCUGCUCGGACAGCUGCAGCUGCGAGUCCUCCCGAAACUCCGGCAGCGUUUCCAGGCAGAAGAUCACGAUGGAGAUGAGGAUGACGAGCACGGAGACGAUGGCGAUUCCACGCGCCGGCCCCGAGCUCUCCGGGUACUCGAACAGGAGCCACACCUGGAGAAUCAUAAAUUCACUCAAAACAUUAAAAGAAAGUACCUGUUCAGCCAUGUAUUUAAAUUUAGGGAUCGUUUCAGUUCGUCUAACUUUGUAUUUAAUGAAAGUUAGAUUAAAUCUGCAUAUUUUCUAUAUUUGUUAAUGGCUUUCACACUUCUAUUGUAUUUUAAGCCUAAUUUUCAAUAAUACGGCCAAGUAAGACAAAGGUUUUGAAUAUAAAAUAGUUCUUGGUCAGUCAGUCACUUAUUGACGGUCCCUAAAGGAACCCCAUUUUAUGAACGGGAACGCACAUUUAAUUCAUUUUUUAGGGCAUUUUGAGAAACUUUGUGGUAGUUUUGACCUAAUAAAUGUUUUUAUGCACCAACA
Molecule: long non-coding RNA, 909 nt
Organism: Eleginops maclovinus (Patagonian blennie)
Lineage: Eukaryota; Metazoa; Chordata; Actinopteri; Perciformes; Eleginopidae
Exons: 2
Source: RefSeq, a predicted model, not a curated record